UGCGUAGGCGGAUUGAUAAGUCAGUGGUGAAAACCUGCAGCUUAACUGUAGAAUUGCCGUUGAUACUGUCAGUCUUGAGUACGGUCAAGGUAGGCGGAAUGUGUAAUGUAGCGGUGAAAUGCUUAGAUAUUACACAGAACACCAAUUGCGAAGGCAGCUUACUGGGCCACAACUGACGCUGAGGCACGAAAGCGUGGGGAGCGAACAGGAUUAGAUACCCUGGUAGUCC
RNAcentral lists this ribosomal RNA (229 nucleotides) under uncultured bacterium. Its description in RNAcentral is "partial 16S ribosomal RNA". It matches the Rfam family "Bacterial small subunit ribosomal RNA", at positions 568 to 796 of the family's 1533-position model. The record is from RNAcentral.